AAAUUGAAGAGUUUGAUCAUGGCUCAGAUUGAACGCUGGCGGCAGGCCUAACACAUGCAAGUCGAACGGUAACAGGAAGCAGCUUGCUGCUUUGCUGACGAGUGGCGGACGGGUGAGUAAUGUCUGGGAAACUGCCUGAUGGAGGGGGAUAACUACUGGAAACGGUGGCUAAUACCGCAUAACGUCGCAAGACCAAAGAGGGGGACCUUCGGGCCUCUUGCCAUCAGAUGUGCCCAGAUGGGAUUAGCUUGUUGGUGAGGUAACGGCUCACCAAGGCGACGAUCCCUAGCUGGUCUGAGAGGAUGACCAGCCACACUGGAACUGAGACACGGUCCAGACUCCUACGGGAGGCAGCAGUGGGGAAUAUUGCACAAUGGGCGCAAGCCUGAUGCAGCCAUGCCGCGUGUAUGAAGAAGGCCUUCGGGUUGUAAAGUACUUUCAGCGGGGAGGAAGGUGUUGUGGUUAAUAACCGCAGCAAUUGACGUUACCCGCAGAAGAAGCACCGGCUAACUCCGUGCCAGCAGCCGCGGUAAUACGGAGGGUGCAAGCGUUAAUCGGAAUUACUGGGCGUAAAGCGCACGCAGGCGGUCUGUCAAGUCGGAUGUGAAAUCCCCGGGCUCAACCUGGGAACUGCAUUCGAAACUGGCAGGCUUGAGUCUUGUAGAGGGGGGUAGAAUUCCAGGUGUAGCGGUGAAAUGCGUAGAGAUCUGGAGGAAUACCGGUGGCGAAGGCGGCCCCCUGGACAAAGACUGACGCUCAGGUGCGAAAGCGUGGGGAGCAAACAGGAUUAGAUACCCUGGUAGUCCACGCCGUAAACGAUGUCUACUUGGAGGUUGUGCCCUUGAGGCGUGGCUUCCGGAGCUAACGCGUUAAGUAGACCGCCUGGGGAGUACGGCCGCAAGGUUAAAACUCAAAUGAAUUGACGGGGGCCCGCACAAGCGGUGGAGCAUGUGGUUUAAUUCGAUGCAACGCGAAGAACCUUACCUGGUCUUGACAUCCACAGAACUUUCCAGAGAUGGAUUGGUGCCUUCGGGAACUGUGAGACAGGUGCUGCAUGGCUGUCGUCAGCUCGUGUUGUGAAAUGUUGGGUUAAGUCCCGCAACGAGCGCAACCCUUAUCCUUUGUUGCCAGCGGUCCGGCCGGGAACUCAAAGGAGACUGCCAGUGAUAAACUGGAGGAAGGUGGGGAUGACGUCAAGUCAUCAUGGCCCUUACGACCAGGGCUACACACGUGCUACAAUGGCGCAUACAAAGAGAAGCGACCUCGCGAGAGCAAGCGGACCUCAUAAAGUGCGUCGUAGUCCGGAUUGGAGUCUGCAACUCGACUCCAUGAAGUCGGAAUCGCUAGUAAUCGUGGAUCAGAAUGCCACGGUGAAUACGUUCCCGGGCCUUGUACACACCGCCCGUCACACCAUGGGAGUGGGUUGCAAAAGAAGUAGGUAGCUUAACCUUCGGGAGGGCGCUUACCA
RNAcentral lists this ribosomal RNA (1468 nucleotides) under Salmonella enterica. RNAcentral describes it as "bacterial SSU rRNA". It matches the Rfam family "Bacterial small subunit ribosomal RNA". The record is from RNAcentral. Lineage: Bacteria; Pseudomonadati; Pseudomonadota; Gammaproteobacteria; Enterobacterales; Enterobacteriaceae.